GCGAGGGAGAAGGAGACGAUCAAAAACUGGGAAGCGGGAAUCGCAGAAUUUGGCACAUAAAAAUGAAGCGCCAAACUUCCCCACUUGCCAAUCACAGAUCAGUGUCCGUACAUCCAUCGGGGGCGCUGCACCCGCGCCUCUACUACAAAUGAAAACCCCCACUCGCUUUCCAAGCCGCGCUUCGCUCACUCUUUCACUCACUCGCCACUCCCCAACUGCUCGCGCCAUUUCUUCUUCCCACUCCUUAAAUCCCUAAAACCCUUUCCCUUCUACACUCCGUGUUUCCUCCAUUCAACUCUUCCCCUCCACGUAUUCCCCUACUUCUCUCUCUCUUCUUCAAUGGCGUCCUUUCGUUUUUCCUUUUCUUUUGCCUUUAUUUAGCCUUUGGUCUUGUGUAUUACCGCAGAUUUAUGAUUUUUUGAGCUCAAUCAUGGUUGUCAAGUCCCGGGUACUACGUUCUGCUGCCAAUGGAGAGCUGCAUUCUCCAGUAACUCCUGAGGAGAAGCCGAAACGCUCUAAAGUAGCUACACCUGGGGGAAAGAGUGCUAAAGCUGCGGCACCGGAGGGAGAUGCGGAACAUCCAUCUCCUUCUCCUAUGAGGAGGACGAGUGCUCGAAUCAUAAAGAUGAAGGCUGAGAAGAAGCUUCUAGCGCGUCAAAGAGUAGAGCUCCUUGAUGAACCCAGCAGUGGCAGCAAAAGGAAGAAGACGAACAGUAAGGUAAAAAGUAAGCGUAAUACUCCGAAUGUUAAGGAGGAGGUGAGGGAAGAUAAGGGCGAAGUGGUGGAAGAUGAGGCCGUUGUUGUUCCGGCGUCCAAAGACGUCACUAAAUCUAAAGACGGUGAUGCGCGCAAACCGAUGGAAGUGUGCGCGCCAGAAAAGAGGACUGGGGACGAUGUUGGUGCAGGUAAUAUGGUUGAGAAGAGUGACCAUGUCAAGGUGAAGGAGACUCUCAGGUUGUUCAACAAGUACUAUCUUCAUUUUGUACAGGAAGAGGAAAAGAGGUGUAAAAAAGCUGAAGUAGCUAAAAAAGCUCCCAAACGGUCAAAAUCGAAGAAGGAGGUUCCUGUAGAAGACACGAAAAACAAGUCGAAGCGACCAGAUUUGAAGGCAGUUUCUAAGAUGUUGGAGACAAAUGAAAUUUUGAACCAUGAGAAAAGAAUUGGCAACGUUCCAGGUAUCAAUAUUGGGCAUCGAUUCUAUUCACGGGCUGAAAUGGUAGCUGUUGGAUUUCACAGCCACUGGCUGAAUGGAAUUGACUACAUGGGGUUGUCAUACAGCAAAAAGUACAGUAAUUAUUCCUUCCCACUUGCGGUGGCCAUAGUUUUAUCGGGCAUGUAUGAGGAUGAUUUGGAUAAUGCUGAGGAUGUCAUUUACACUGGUCAAGGAGGGCAAAAUUUAACUGGCAAUAAACGUCAGAUUCGGGAUCAAAAAAUGGAACGUGGUAAUUUGGCUCUCAAGAAUUGUAUUGAGCAAGGUGUCCCAGUUAGAGUGGUUCGGGGGCAUGAAUCUGCCACUAGUUACUGUGGGAAACUUUACACAUAUGAUGGCUUGUAUAAGGUUAUACAGUAUUGGGCAGAAAAAGGUAUUUCUGGAUUUACUGUGUUUAAAUUUCGUCUUAGGCGGAUUGAAGGACAAUCGUUGUUGACCACAAACCAGGUUCAAUUUAUAUAUGGUCGGGUUCCCAAAUCAGUUUCAGAAAUACGUGGGUUGGUGUGUGAGGAUAUCGCUGGGGGUCAGGAGAAUAUUCCUAUUCCAGCUACUAAUUUGGUUGACGAUCCACCUGUUGCACCCAUAGGUUUCACUUAUUGUAAAUCCAUUAAAGUUGCACGUGGUGUGAAACUUCCUCCGAAUGCUAAUGGAUGUGACUGUAAGGAAUCAUGUAUCACUUCAAGGACAUGUUCGUGUGCUAAGCUUAAUGGAUCAGACUUCCCAUAUGUGCAACGUGAUGGUGGAAGACUUAUAGAAGCCAAGGAUGUUGUUUACGAAUGUGGUCCCAAUUGUGGUUGUGGUCUUGGUUGUGUGAAUCGAACUUCUCAGAGGGGGAUCAAAUAUCGACUUGAGGUUUUCCGAACACCAAAGAAAGGGUGGGCUGUUAGAUCCUGGGAUUUUAUACCUUCUGGCGCACCUGUUUGUGAAUACACAGGAAUACUUGCAAGGACAGAGGAUCUUGAUCAUGUAUCAGAGAAUAAUUAUAUCUUUGACAUUGAUUGUUUGCAAACAAUUAGGGGCAUUGGUGGACGAGAGAGGCGCUCAAGAGAUGCAUCCUUGCCAGCAAACAAUUCCUUGGAUGUUAUAGAUGAUCGAAGAUCUGAAAGUGUGCCAGAGUUUUGCAUUGAUGCUUGUUCCACUGGAAAUAUUGCAAGGUUUAUAAAUCAUAGUUGCGAACCUAAUCUUUUUGUUCAAUGUGUAUUGAGCGCACACCAUGACAUCAAACUUGCUAGAGUGGUACUAUUUGCUGCAGAAAACAUACCACCCCUCCAGGAACUGACAUACGACUAUGGGUAUGCACUUGAUAGCGUGUAUGGUCCAGAUGGGAAGAUAAAACAGAUGCCCUGCUUCUGUGGUGCAACUGAAUGUAGGAAACGCUUGUUUUAGUCUAGGGAAAGCCAUCAGAUGCUGGUAACGGUUGACAACAUUUUUUUAGUACCACAUACGAAGGUGACUGACAUGUUUCUGAUGCGAAAUUGCUAGUCUCUCAUCUCACCACCUUGAAUACAAAGGAUGGAAAGAUAACUUUCUUUUAGUUUCUAAAAUUGUAGUUACUAGAGAAAGAAAGUGUACAGGAUCAUAGAGAAGAAAUUGGAAUCCAAGAGGCCAGUCAACAAACAAGCUACUUCGUUCAGUAAAUGACGGCCACAAAAGGUAUAUGCUGGAAAAGAUUAUUCAAUUAAAAAACAUCAUUAUUUUCAAAGUUGAUGAUAAAAUGUCAUUUUAUAAACACUGACCUAUUGAAAUUUGGAAAAAGUAACAAUAUUCAGAGUGAAUUAAACCUGGCGAACCAAAAUUCCUCUUUA
Molecule: RNA transcript, 3015 nt
Organism: Cucumis sativus (cucumber)
Lineage: Eukaryota; Viridiplantae; Streptophyta; Magnoliopsida; Cucurbitales; Cucurbitaceae
Gene name: histone-lysine N-methyltransferase, H3 lysine-9 specific SUVH4
Exons: 17
Source: RefSeq, a predicted model, not a curated record